GUCCAAAAUGAAUUCAGAGAGGAUAAACGUAUGAUUUAGGACUGAGCGCAACAUUUCCUUUGUUCAUCACACACCACAUCAGAUUUGCUCUUGCACAGCUAGUUCAGCUGGGUCGGGACUACCUUAACACCAACAGGGAAAACCAGAGGUGAGUCAGACUCUGUCAACCUGAGGACAUUUUUAGUAGUUACGUGGUUUAAUGUGCUGAAGUGUUUCAUGUUACAUGACUAAAUAUCAGUUAUCAUGCCAGACAACAGUUUAGAGCAGCAAGAAGUAACACGUGUUGUUGUUUUACCUUCUCGAAGGGACAACGGAGAACCUGAUGAUCCAGCUGCUGGGGACACUGCGUCUCUCCAAUCUGUGCUUGUCUAUAAUCUAUAACUGCAUGUGUCCCUUUGAACAAUCAGGGACCAGGGGGAUGGGGUGGAAGAGGAGAUGGAGCCACCACACAGUCAGGAGACACAUGUUGAGUCCUCUCUGCUGAAUGGGCAUCUUGUGAACAGGUUAACCUUUCUCUGAGAAAGACCCUCAUUACUUCAUUACCAGUUGGGUUUCAUUAUCCUCAGUCAGAGCUGAUCCCAUGAGUCAUUGAUCCCACAGGUUUAAUAGAAAGACCCGUUUGUUUAACACGUGAUCCUUAUAUUCUAAUACCUGUAAUACCUAAUGAGCAUGGUAAAUGCUCAUGCAUGUUAAAGAAAAUGUUUAGCAGACAAGGAGAGAGAGGUGAGCCAAGCGAGAGGUUCGUUCAGCCAAUGGGCCGUGAGGGAACAGAUACUGAAUUCUCUCAGAAGAGAAAUGUUGGAUUUCAUUUUGAGCCAGUUUGCUACAGCAGGAAAAUAAUCCUGCAGCGACAACAAAUGUGAAUUGUUACGCGAGUUGAUAGAUUUUUCAUUAGGGCAAAUCAAAUCGGUCAUUUUAAAGUAGAAAUUACCAACUUUCAAUGCCCUUUUAAACUUUGAAUAUACUACAGGUUUGCAUUUCCUGCUGUGCAGGAAAAUGCUCAGCAACCAAAGAGUGAUCAAUUUAAGAUCGUACCUCUGUAAUCUCACAAUGGGGCAUGUAAUAACGUUUGUCUUGUGGUGGCUCAAUGAUGAUGUCAGGUAAACAUCACUACAUAUUGAUACAUCCACAACUCAUUGGGUAUAAUGCCACUCACCCCAUUUUCCCACGGUUCAUGUUAGCCUCUGUCUCUUUAGGGGACAGUAUUAUGGUGGAUCAUGAAUGUGAAUGUUGAUGUCUUAUUACUCCAACAGGGUUAACGAUGAGACUAAGGAAGCGACUCCUGGUGCACAGAGUCCAGAACCUCCUCAGACGAAUGGAGGACCUCCUAUGUCUGACAGGUUGGAGAACAACCCUGUUGGUCAGCGGAUGAAGAUAACUUCUCUGGUGAACAAGCAGGACCAGGACUGGUCAGCAACGGCAUGAAGCCAGUUGAAAAUAUAUAGCAUAUAAGAUGCAACUAAGUGUAAUUAUAAUAAAAAAUAACAUGAUAUACACUGUAAUAUAGAACAGUAUAAUAUAAUGACAAGAUAUAAUAUCGUAACACUUACUUGAAGCUGCUUCUUGUAUAGUGUUAUAUAUUCUAAUGAAUGCAUUCUUAACAACAUGAAUGAUGCAUUAAUGCAUACAUAGGACAUAACUGUAAAAUGCUAGUGUAAUACUGUGCUGGUAAGCUGCUAGCUGUGGGGUUGCCCCCAGCUGUGGUUUCUAUUAUUCAGAGUAUCUAAGCUCAACUUCAAAUCCAUAGUUUUUAGCUUAGUUGUUACUGUAAACUAGCACUUCUUAGAGACAAAGUUAUGGGACAUGCUGUAUAACUACUUACCAUUCUGAAGUGUAACAGUCAAGUUUAUAUGUAACGAUUGUUAAUCCCUUUUUUAAAUGUUUAUUUAUA
Molecule: long non-coding RNA, 1891 nt
Organism: Oncorhynchus kisutch (coho salmon)
Lineage: Eukaryota; Metazoa; Chordata; Actinopteri; Salmoniformes; Salmonidae
Exons: 2
Source: RefSeq, a predicted model, not a curated record